UAAGGAAUAUUGGUCAAUGGACGCAAGUCUGAACCAGCCAUGCCGCGUGGAGGAUGAAGGUCCUCUGGAUUGUAAACUUCUUUUAUCUGGGAAGAAAUGCCGAUUUUCUAAUUGGUUUGACGGUACCAGAUGAAUAAGCACCGGCUAACUCCGUGCCAGCAGCCGCGGUAAUACGGAGGGUGCAAGCGUUAUCCGGAUUCACUGGGUUUAAAGGGUGCGUAGGCGGAAUUGUAAGUCCGUGGUGAAAUCUCCGAGCUUAACUCGGAAACUGCCGUGGAUACUAUAGUUCUUGAAUGUUGUGGAGGUUUGCGGAAUAUGUCAUGUAGCGGUGAAAUGCUUAGAUAUGACAUAGAACACCGAUUGCGAAGGCAGCAGGCUACACAAAUAUUGACGCUGAGGCACGAAAGCGUGGGGAUCAAACAGG
This 424-nucleotide ribosomal RNA is filed under the name uncultured bacterium. RNAcentral describes it as "bacterial SSU rRNA". It matches the Rfam family "Bacterial small subunit ribosomal RNA", at positions 355 to 776 of the family's 1533-position model. The record is from RNAcentral.